UGCUGCUGUACGUCGGUUUUCGUGGCCUUUCCGGUUCCAGAUUUCCUGAUAACGUCUCCAAUCAUUCCGAUGGAACUCGUAGUAUCGAUGGUGACCAAGCUGCUUUUUCGACAGCUUCCCAAAUUGGCCCACCUGCUGGCUAACGACGAAUCUUACACCCAGCUGGGAAGCCUUGAGGAGGGUCCCGGGCGGUGUGUUACGUGAUGAUAUGAUGUUCAAACUGUUCCAGAUGCAACAAUUUGCGGUAAACUUCGACGUCAUGAUCGAAUUUUUGAUGUUCGGAUGAUAUGAUUCAGAUGCUCCGGCCGGAAACAUCACUCGGACCUCUACGAUAGCUGCGAGACCUCAGUAAUGACUUGGGUGAUCAAUCCAAGCGCAAUCGUACUUCCAAGGACUCGAAGGUAGACGAAUUGAUGAAUUGGAUGCUCAUA
This is a long non-coding RNA of Uranotaenia lowii, 431 nucleotides long. RefSeq lists it as uncharacterized. The record is from RefSeq and is a predicted model, not a curated record. The transcript has 3 exons. Lineage: Eukaryota; Metazoa; Arthropoda; Insecta; Diptera; Culicidae.